RNAcentral lists this ribosomal RNA (435 nucleotides) under uncultured bacterium. RNAcentral describes it as "partial 16S ribosomal RNA". It matches the Rfam family "Bacterial small subunit ribosomal RNA", at positions 27 to 507 of the family's 1533-position model. The record is from RNAcentral.
GAGCGAACGCUGGCGGCAGGCCUAACCCAUGCAAGUCGAACGAACCUUUCGGGGUUAGUGGCGGACGGGUGAGUAACACGUGGGAACGUGCCUUUAGGUUCGGAAUAACUCAGGGAAACUUGUGCUAAUACCGAAUGUGCCCUUCGGGGGAAAGAUUAAUCGCCUUUAGAGCGGCCCGCGUCUGAUUAGCUAGUUGGUUGAGGUAAUGGCUCACCAAGGCGACGAUCAGUAGCUGGUCUGAGAGGAUGAUCAGCCACAUUGGGACUGAGACACGGCCCAAACUCCUACGGGAGGCAGCAGUGGGGAAUCUUGCGCAAUGGGCGAAAGCCUGACGCAGCCAUGCCGCGUGAAUGAUGAAGGUCUUAGGAUUGUAAAAUUCUUUCACCGGGGACGAUAAUGACGGUACCCGGAGAAGAAGCCCCGGCUAACUUCGUG